This 1374-nucleotide ribosomal RNA is filed under the name Triticum aestivum (bread wheat). RNAcentral's name for it is "partial small subunit ribosomal RNA". Lineage: Eukaryota; Viridiplantae; Streptophyta; Magnoliopsida; Poales; Poaceae. The record is from RNAcentral.
AUGCUUACCGAGAAGAUAUAUGGGUUGCAAAAUUUGCGCACUCUCAUUGAUGGCAUGAUAUUUGUCAAAUCAGACGAGCACAAAGCCUUCAAGAGUAUGUUUGCUAUGUUCAUGAGGCUGAAGAAAUUGAGGGUACUGAAAUUAUGUGUCAUGCCUUAUAAACACAAAUUCUCAUUCCCAGAUUCUAUUGGUGAUUUGAAGCAUCUGCGUUAUUUUGCUUUCUCGGUGUAUGCACGUGUCAAGCUAACUAUACCAGGCACCUUUACCAAGCUUUACCACAUGCAGGUGAUAGAUUUUGGUUUUUGUGGUAGUUUGGCGUCUUCUAGUGGUGAAGAUAUGGUGAACCUAGUUAACUUGCGCCAUGUAAUCAGCAGGGCAGAUCAGGAAUUUCCAAACGUUGGCAGUUUGAUAUGGCUCCAAACGCUACCAUUCUUCAGAAUAAGGAGGGCACGGGGGUAUGAGCCACAUCAGCUGAAGCACCUAAACAAGCUUCAAGGCACGCUGUUGAUUUGUGGUCUUGAGAAUGUUGAGAGCAAGGAGGAGGCUGUUAAAGUCAAUCUUGCUAAUAAGGAAAAACUCACAGAACUGAUACUUCAAUGGGAUAAUGAGAGCUGCAGUCCAGAAGUUCAAGCAGAGGUUCUUGAGGGUCUUUGUCCAUCGAAGUAUCUUGAAAGACUAGAUAUCUCCGGGUACCACGGUAUAAGGUUACCGAACUGGAUGAUGGGUAACCAUAAUGGCGGCCCAAAGAACCUGCAAGAACUUAUAUUCAGUGGAUGGAACCAGCUAGGACCUGCUCCUGACCUUGGGGCUUUCAUUCAUCUUCGUUCUCUACAUGUUUCUAGCUGCAGCUGGGAUGCCUUACCAGGCAAUAUGGAGCACCUCACAGCACUCAAGAGACUGGAUAUAAAGUCAUGCAAGAAUAUACGGGAGCUUCUAACACUGCCCAAGUCUCUUGAGGAGUUUAACAUCAUGAACUGUAGCAGAAAUGCCUUACGAGGAAAUAUGGAGCACCUCACAUCGCUCAAGAAAUUUGUGAUCUGGAAUUGCAAGAAUAUGCGGUCGCCCCCAACACUGCCCAAGUCUCUUGACGAGUUUAAAGUCGUGCGCUGCAGCUUCAAUGCCUUGCCAGGCAAUAUUGAGCACAUCACAUCACUCAGGAGACUGGAUAUACAGUCAUGCGAGAACAUGCGGUCGCUUCCAACACUGCCCAAGUCUCUUGAGGAGUUUAUCGUCUUAGGCUGCAGCUUGGAUGCCUUGCCAAGCAAUAUGGAACACCAUACAGCACUCAAGAAACUGAGUAUCACUAUCUGCAAGAAUAUACAGUUGCUUCCAACACUGCCCAAGUCUCUUGAGAGGUUUAUCGUUGUGGACUGA